Molecule: ribosomal RNA, 204 nt
Filed under: uncultured bacterium
Lineage: Bacteria
Description: partial 16S ribosomal RNA
Rfam family: Bacterial small subunit ribosomal RNA
Source: RNAcentral
AUUACUCCUACGGGAGGCAGCAGUGGGGAAUUUUGGACAAUGGGGGAAACCCUGAUCCAGCCAUGCCGCGUGUGUGAAGAAGGCCUUUUGGUUGUAAAGCACUUUAAGUGGGGAGGAGGCUUACCUGGUUAAUACCUGGGCUAAGUGGACGUUACCCACAGAAUAAGCACCGGCUAACUCUGUGCCAGCAGCCGCGGUAAUAAU